RNAcentral lists this ribosomal RNA (445 nucleotides) under uncultured Pseudoalteromonas sp. RNAcentral describes it as "bacterial SSU rRNA". It matches the Rfam family "Bacterial small subunit ribosomal RNA", at positions 1086 to 1532 of the family's 1533-position model. Lineage: Bacteria; Pseudomonadati; Pseudomonadota; Gammaproteobacteria; Alteromonadales; Pseudoalteromonadaceae. The record is from RNAcentral.
GCCGCACGAGCGCACCCCUAUCCUUANUUGCUAGCANGUAAUGCUGANAACUCUAAGGAGACUGCCGGUGAUAAACCGGANGAAGGUGGGGACGACGUCAAGUCAUCAUGGCCCUUACNUGUAGGGCUACACACGUGCUACAAUGGCGCAUACAGAGUGCUGCNAACCUGCGAAGGUAAGCGAAUCACUUAAAGUGCGUCGUANUCCGGAUUGGAGUCUGCAACUCGACUCCAUGAAGUCGGAAUCGCUAGUAAUCGCGUAUCANAAUGACGCGGUGAAUACGUUCCCGGGCCUUGUACACACCGCCCGUCACACCAUGGGAGUGGGUUGCUCCAGAAGUAGAUAGUCUAACCCUCGGGAGGACGUUUACCACGGAGUGAUUCAUGACUGGGGUGAAGUCGUAACAAGGUAGCCCUAGGGGAACCUGGGGCUGGAUCACCUCCUU